RNAcentral lists this long non-coding RNA (1076 nucleotides) under Calidris pugnax (ruff). RNAcentral's name for it is "lncRNA (ENSCPUG00000010549.1)". The record is from RNAcentral. Lineage: Eukaryota; Metazoa; Chordata; Aves; Charadriiformes; Scolopacidae.
UGGUGCUUUUUUCUCCUUUCAGGGUUAACUGCUCAGCCUAUUCCAUCUUGACUUACAGGUCUUUUAUUGCAAUUUAAUAGUGCUUCUUAAUCUUUUCCAGCUGCAUGUAAUGAUCCUUCUCCUGACAGAUCUUUUGCCACACAGAAAGCCUACGAAGAAGGUAUGAAACAGAUUGGCAGCACAGCUAUUUAUACAGAUCCUUGAAAAGUGGGAUAUGUAGAUCUGCUAUCUGAAUGUUACCUUCUGAGAAAUUUUGCCAUAUCUUUAAUUUUUCUGUGUAUUACAGGCUGCCUUUCUAAAGACUGGAUCCACAGUUCACUGAAAUCAAUGGAAGUGAUCCCAGCUGACUUGGAAAACUCUAGAUUGGACCAUAAACCAGGUGAUGCUUCCCUUUGACUCUGAGGAUGCUCCAGGAGCUCUGCCAUCUGCAGCUGUGUGCUUCCUGUGUGGGGUAGAGCCUGUGGCCUGGAUCUGCUGGGCUUCCUCCUCCAGCUCAAGGAUCAGCUUCAGCAGCCCAGCUUCCCACUUGCGGUUCUAUUAGAUCUGAGAAGGGGCCAAGUGGGUGUUGUCAGCUGGGAUCUGGCAGCCCUGGAGUCUCGGUAAGGCCCUCAGGGAUGCUUUAUAAGAAAGGCUUCUGGAAGCUUUUUAUUUAGCUUUAAUGGUCUCUUUAUUUGGGACAAAUCCCAUCUUUGGUAUUUAUCCAUUAGGAGGUCAGUGGCUGAUAUCUUCCAGAAAGAUUAACCAUCUCUAGGCCUCCGUGCUAAAGCUCAGAGUAAUUCUUUGGACUGCAGGCAUUGUAUAUUUCCUUGCAAAACAGUAUAAAAUGCACCUAACAGUCCUGCCUCCUCUUUUUACUGUAUGCUUCUGAAUUAGCAACUUUCUAAUGAAUUUCUGAUCCCCUUCCUCUCCAACUCUAUAGGAAUGACAAAGCUCACAGUGAAUUUAAUGGACCCUUGGUGCUUUACCCCAUCCAAGGUCUGCAGUGUGCAGAGAAGGUUGGGUAAGGUCUGCAGGAUCUGACCCACUUAUGAGCUCAGAGAAGCUGCUGAAGAAGCUUUUUCUUUGGAGGGUCCCAG